GACGAACGCUGGCGGCGUGCUUAACACAUGCAAGUCGAACGGAAAGGCCCUGCUUUUGUGGGGUGCUCGAGUGGCGAACGGGUGAGUAACACGUGAGUAACCUGCCCUUGACUUUGGGAGAACUUCAGGAAACUGGGGCUAAUACCGGAUAGGAGCUCCUGCUGCAUGGUGGGGGUUGGAAAGUUUCGGCGGUUGGGGAUGGACUCGCGGCUUAUCAGCUUGUUGGUGGGGUAGUGGCUUACCAAGGCUUUGACGGGUAGCCGGCCUGAGAGGGUGACCGGCCACAUUGGGACUGAGAUACGGCCCAGACUCCUACGGGAGGCAGCAGUGGGGAAUAUUGCACAAUGGGCGGAAGCCUGAUGCAGCAACGCCGCGUGCGGGAUGACGGCCUUCGGGUUGUAAACCGCUUUCGCCUGUGACGAAGCGUGAGUGACGGUAAUGGGUAAAGAAGCACCGGCUAACUACGUG
This 468-nucleotide ribosomal RNA is filed under the name uncultured bacterium. RNAcentral's name for it is "partial 16S ribosomal RNA". It matches the Rfam family "Bacterial small subunit ribosomal RNA", at positions 28 to 507 of the family's 1533-position model. The record is from RNAcentral.